RNAcentral lists this ribosomal RNA (492 nucleotides) under uncultured bacterium. RNAcentral describes it as "partial 16S ribosomal RNA". It matches the Rfam family "Bacterial small subunit ribosomal RNA", at positions 29 to 507 of the family's 1533-position model. The record is from RNAcentral.
AGUGAACGCUGGCGGUAGGCCUAACACAUGCAAGUCGAACGGCAGCACAGUAAGAGCUUGCUCUUACGGGUGGCGAGUGGCGGACGGGUGAGGAAUACAUCGGAAUCUACUUUUUCGUGGGGGAUAACGUAGGGAAACUUACGCUAAUACCGCAUACGACCUACGGGUGAAAGCAGGGGAUCUUCGGACCUUGCGCGAUUGAAUGAGCCGAUGUCGGAUUAGCUAGUUGGCGGGGUAAAGGCCCACCAAGGCGACGAUCCGUAGCUGGUCUGAGAGGAUGAUCAGCCACACUGGAACUGAGACACGGUCCAGACUCCUACGGGAGGCAGCAGUGGGGAAUAUUGGACAAUGGGCGCAAGCCUGGUCCAGCCAUACCGCGUGGGUGAAGAAGGCCUUCGGGUUGUAAAGCCCUUUUGUUGGGAAAGAAAGGCAGCAGGUUAAUACCCCGCUGUUCUGACGGUACCCAAAGAAUAAGCACCGGCCAACUUCGUG